Molecule: ribosomal RNA, 326 nt
Filed under: Tityus elii
Lineage: Eukaryota; Metazoa; Arthropoda; Arachnida; Scorpiones; Buthidae
Description: partial large subunit ribosomal RNA
Rfam family: Bacterial large subunit ribosomal RNA (bases 109-326)
Source: RNAcentral
UUAGUCUUAUAAUUGAAGACUGGAAUGAAAGAGUUAACUUAAAAAAACAAUUUCUAUUAUUAGACUUAAAUCUUACCUUUUAGUAAAAAGGCUAAAAUAAAACUUAAAGACAAGAAGACCCUGUAAAACUUAACACAUUUCUAUCUAACUAAUAAAUUUUGUGUUCGGCUGGGGCGGCAAAGAAUUCUAACAUUCUUAAAAAAUUAUAAUUAGCAUUAACAUACCCAGAAAUUCUGAAAUUUAAACAAGUUACUUCAGGGAUAACAGCGUUAUAUACUUUGAAAGAUCAAAUUGACAAGUUUGUUUGCGACCUCGAUGUUGGAUUG